Molecule: non-coding RNA, 60 nt
Filed under: Pyrobaculum islandicum DSM 4184
Lineage: Archaea; Thermoproteati; Thermoproteota; Thermoprotei; Thermoproteales; Thermoproteaceae
Description: Pyrobac-1 RNA
Rfam family: Pyrobac-1 RNA
About the family: The motif has been shown by to be part of sRNA202 and sRNA203 canonical and noncanonical pseudouridine guide RNA (H/ACA RNA).
Source: Rfam by way of RNAcentral
AAAUUCUAGAUGGGCUACAGAGAGCCGCUUACGCGGCACUGUGAUGUAGCCUGACGGUGU